AGUUCUAAAUAGUGAUACUUGUUAAAUUUAAAUGUGAAAUGCAAUUAUAAUGUUUUUGUUCUGUAGAAUAAAUGUUCAUGAUGUUAUUAUUUUAAGUUAUCACAUGACUUUUUAUAAAUGUCACAUGGGUUGUUUUUGCUGAUUUGUUGAGUGUUUGUAAUGAAUGUGAUAUGUUUUCAUGUUAAAAAGCACCUCAGUGAGAAAGUUGUUUUGUUUUUAGAUAUUUAUUAAUCUUU
Molecule: long non-coding RNA, 236 nt
Filed under: Mytilus galloprovincialis (Mediterranean mussel)
Lineage: Eukaryota; Metazoa; Mollusca; Bivalvia; Mytilida; Mytilidae
Source: RNAcentral